CAUUUUGGGAGCCAUUUGGACAAAAGAGACUUGCAAGGAGCUUAGGAGACUAAAUGAGAGGUAGAGAGGAAAAGAUUUUAGAAGAAAAGACAAAAAAUUUGGGGAGAUAAAUCAUCGAUUUGGAAAAGAGGGGUAGAAUCUAAGGCAAGCUCGAACAAUCCAAAUGAGGAAGAAAGAGGAGAAGAAGUUGGUUCCUUAAUGGGCGAUUUGAAGGGUGAA
Molecule: long non-coding RNA, 219 nt
Filed under: Elaeis guineensis (African oil palm)
Lineage: Eukaryota; Viridiplantae; Streptophyta; Magnoliopsida; Arecales; Arecaceae
Description: long non-coding RNA (EGUI_LNC047141)
Source: RNAcentral